GCCGGGCAUGGUGGCACAUGCCUGUAAUCCCAGCAGCUGGGUAGGCUGAGGCAGGAGGAUCAUGAGUUCGAAGCCAGCCCCAGCAAAAAUGAGGCACUCACUUAGCAACUCAGUGAGACCCUAUCUCUA
RNAcentral lists this small RNA (129 nucleotides) under Marmota monax (woodchuck). The record is from RNAcentral. Lineage: Eukaryota; Metazoa; Chordata; Mammalia; Rodentia; Sciuridae.